AGUGAACGCUGGCGGUAGGCCUAACACAUGCAAGUCGAACGGCAGCACAGUAAGAGCUUGCUCUUACGGGUGGCGAGUGGCGGACGGGUGAGGAAUACAUCGGAAUCUACUUUUUCGCGGGGGAUAACGUAGGGAAACUUACGCUAAUACCGCAUACGACCUACGGGUGAAAGCAGGGGAUCUUCGGACCUUGCGCGAUUGAAUGAGCCGAUGUCGGAUUAGCUAGUUGGCGGGGUAAAGGCCCACCAAGGCGACGAUCCGUAGCUGGUCUGAGAGGAUGAUCAGCCACACUGGAACUGAGACACGGUCCAGACUCCUACGGGAGGCAGCAGUGGGGAAUAUUGGACAAUGGGCGCAGGCCUGAUCCAGCCAUACCGCGUGGGUGAAGAAGGCCUUCGGGUUGUAAAGCCCUUUUGUUGGGAAAGAAAAGCAGCAGGUUAAUACCCCGCUGUUCUGACGGUACCCAAAGAAUAAGCACCGGCUAACUUCGUG
Molecule: ribosomal RNA, 492 nt
Filed under: uncultured bacterium
Lineage: Bacteria
Description: partial 16S ribosomal RNA
Rfam family: Bacterial small subunit ribosomal RNA
Source: RNAcentral